ACCGUACUCCUACGGGAGGCAGCAGUGGGGAAUUUUGGACAAUGGGGGCAACCCUGAUCCAGCAAUGCCGCGUGAGUGAAGAAGGCCUUCGGGUUGUAAAGCUCUUUUGUCAGGGAAGAAACGGUAGUAGCUAAUAUCUAUUACUAAUGACGGUACCUGAAGAAUAAGCACCGGCUAACUACGUGCCAGCAGCCGCGGUAAUACGUAGGGUGCAAGCGUUAAUCGGAAUUGCUGGGCGUAAAGCGUGCGCAGGCGGUUGUGUAAGUCAGAUGUGAAAUCCCCGGGCUCAACCUGGGAAUUGCAUUUGGGACUGCACGUCUAGAGUGUGUCAGAGGGGGGUAGAAUUCCACGUGUAGCAGUGAAAUGCGUAGAUAUGUGGAGGAAUACCGAUGGCGAAGGCAGCCCCCUGGGAUAACACUGACGCUCAUGCACGAAAGCGUGGGGAGCAAACAGGAUUAGAAACCCUUGUAGUCCUUGAC
This 479-nucleotide ribosomal RNA is filed under the name uncultured bacterium. RNAcentral's name for it is "bacterial SSU rRNA". It matches the Rfam family "Bacterial small subunit ribosomal RNA", at positions 330 to 801 of the family's 1533-position model. The record is from RNAcentral.